Molecule: ribosomal RNA, 726 nt
Filed under: Prenanthes macrophylla
Lineage: Eukaryota; Viridiplantae; Streptophyta; Magnoliopsida; Asterales; Asteraceae
Description: eukaryotic LSU rRNA
Rfam family: 5.8S ribosomal RNA (bases 304-459)
Source: RNAcentral
AAGUCGUAACAAGGUUUCCGUAGGUGAACCUGCGGAAGGAUCAUUGUCGAACCCUGCAAGGCAGAACGACCCGUGAACACGUAAAUACAACUUGGUGAUAGGGAGAUGGGCAUUUGUCCUGAUUCUUAACACCUCCCGGCGUGCUUGCAUGGUCUCUCAUUUUUGGCACCAUGGAUGUAUCGUUGGAUCUUAACAAACCCCGGCACGGAAUGUGCCAAGGAAAACAAAAUAUGAGAAGGACUCGUCUUGUUAUGUCCCGUUCGCGGUGUGCAUGCUGGUCGUGGCCUCCUUGGAAUCACAAACGACUCUCGGCAACGGAUAUCUCGGCUCACGCAUCGAUGAAGAACGUAGCAAAAUGCGAUACUUGGUGUGAAUUGCAGAAUCCCGUGAACCAUCGAGUUUUUGAACGCAAGUUGCGCCCGAAGCCAUCCGGUUGAGGGCACGCCUGCCUGGGCGUCACGCAUCGCGUCGUCCCCCACCAUACUUCCCUGAUGGUUAGUCAUGGUGUUUGGGGGCGGAGAGUGGCCUCCCGUGCCUGUGGUGCGGUUGGCCUAAAUAGGAGUCCCCUUCAGUGGAUACACGGCUAGUGGUGGUUGUAUAGACCCUCUUCUUGUGUCGUGUGUCGUGAGCUGCUAGGGAAACCCUCAUCAAAGACCCCACUGUAUCGUCUUACGACGAUGCUNCGACCGCGACCCCAGGUCAGGCGGGACUACCCGCUGAGUUUAA